Astatotilapia calliptera (eastern happy) is the source of this 10073-nucleotide long non-coding RNA. Lineage: Eukaryota; Metazoa; Chordata; Actinopteri; Cichliformes; Cichlidae. The record is from Ensembl.
AUGAAGGUAGACAAGAAACAACACAGCCAGGAAGUCCUUUCUAUGGUUCUCCUGCAGACAACAUAGUGUGUUUAAUGUUUUCAUUUCCUACGCCUACUUUGUGUUGUUGUUGUUUGUCUGGCCGCCAUGACACCAGGUAGGGGACAGCAGACCAGCUUUUGAAAGGGGUCAGUUUGGAUUACAGUCUGACCACACCCACUUGAGGUCAAAGGUCAACUCCUCCUCUUUGGUUCACUGAUGAUGAAGCGCUGUAUUGAGUAAAACAGGGAUGAAAAAAAGCCCUGUUUGAAAUCUCAUUUCUCCUCCUCUUCCAAAGCUAAGGAACCAUGGAGCACAGCCCUGCCAGCCUGGAGGUGGGAUUGAGGUGACACACCACCUCCAGCCAAUGGGGGGGAAGGAUUUGAGGGAUGGUCCAACAGCCCCAAUAAGGCUGCAAUAGGGAUGGGGGGCCCAGGCAGAGGAAGACACUCUCUGGCCAACAGGAAGCUAGCCAGCUCUUUUUAUUUUUAUUCCACCGCUGGUCAGGAAAACUCCAGCGAGAGACAAACUUGAAUCGUCUGUCAACGUGAUCUGGCUCCGCCUCCUCCACCGGGUUUCCUCGUUUGGCCACACCCACUCGCUGCCCCGAACAGGAGCACUGGGUGGCUAAGCAGAGACAGCGAGCCCCCCCUUUCUGCCUCAUACCUCGCCGUUCCUCACUCCUUCCUCCCUCCUCUUUGGUUACUUCACCAUCCCUCUCCCUCCAUCGCUGAGUCUUUUUGCUUUGUCAGCCCUCGGGGAGGCGUGCGUUUGUCGAACGGGGCAACAAAGAUGGCGGGGUGCGCGGGAGAACGGGAGUGAGCGAUUGAAAUGAAAAACAGACUCUGACGUCAAUCAAAGACACUUCCUUCUCCAGGACCCUCCUCUUCCUCUCAGCGUGGAAUCCUACUGGAUUUGCUGCCACACACGAUUUCUACAGACCACGCCCACUAUGUAUUUAACAGUUCAAUAUUGUGCAAAACUGGCUAGCCAUGACUAUUUUUGUUUUAUAUUCAUGAUGUUAUUGGUUUAAUUUAUCCUUGAUUUGUUUGCACAAUCGGGGUGCUGGUCUUAUAAAUGUAUUUUUGCUCGGUUUAUUUUAGGAGAAUUUUAAGAGGUUUUAAGUAACGAAGCAGGGCGUAGUGUUUGUGUGCGAGUGCAUAACUAUAUUUGUGCGUGCGGAUGUGUGUCUGCGUUUUAGUACAGGAUGUAUGAAUGCGUGAGAUAGAGUGUGUAUCUUUAAAAAAAAUUGGGGAGGGGGGGGUCUUUCUCUCUAUCAGUAUGCACCUUUUACAGAUUGUAUCUAUUUAUUUAUUUAUUUUUUUCCCAGAAGAGAAAAAAUGUGUGCGUGUGUGUGUGUUUGAGUGAUUUACUUGUGUAUUCUAAAAGCUGAUUUUAAGCCUAGACAGUAAAUUAAGGUAGCAUUACAAGUAUGGUCUUGUUUGUUUGUAUGUACGUGAGGGUGUGUGUGGGUAUGUGCGUGUAUGUGUGAUAAUGGGCCUCUUUAACACAGGGUUACCAUGGACAGGCAUGCUUCCAAAGCUUUGUGAUUUCAUUAGCAAGAUUUUUACUUUUUAGCCAAGCUGCAGACUCAGAAGCUGCUCUGUCUUCAACAACUAGUUUUUGCAUAACUUUUCUUUAUUUCCCCACUCAGAGGUACUUAACUGUAAGGUCUCCAGCAAGGUCAGAGUGAAUUAUAGAUCUUUCAGGCAUUGCAGUUUUUCCAGACGGUAAGAAGCCUUUUGGCAAGUUGCUGUUUUUCUUAAUCAUGGCGGUUGUUGCUCUGAAUUUUAGAAGUCCCCUUAUUCAUAGCGGCACAGUGACAACUCGUAAAGGAACUCAGAGUGGGGGUGGUACCCCGCGUAUCACACAUUACACGACCAUUUGAGUUUAAACUCCAAAUUAACUUUUAGGGCUGGUGUACAGAUGCUGCAAGACUUCUGAAUCACACAUCUUUAUAUGAGGCUCGUAUCAUAAAAUGUAUUUUUUUAUCAGGGAUGGUUUCAGAGAUAAAACCGACUUCCUGUUUGUGAUAUUUAUGAUUUACUGGUAAAGACAGUUUUGCUGAAAAAAUUAGCAUACAAGCAGGAAAUUUUACUGAUAAUUAUAAGACGAUGAUAAUUGUUUGGUUAAUGUGAUAAAUUAUUAGAUAGAAAUCACAAAGCUUACAUUUUGGAUGGAAAUUGUAUCCUAAGCUACUUUUUUUCUUUAUAAGUAGCCUGAAAUUUUUUGAUGGAUCGUUCUCUUUUUUAACUCAACCCUUGGGUAUAGUUUGAAUACACUGAAAGUACGACCACUGCAAGGUAUUUCAUUCAAGCCUCAGCAUUUUACACAGGGCACAGGUCUCACUUCGGUACUGUACCGUCUCCAAAAGCAUUCCUGACAUCAAAAUCACCUCAUUGGUACCAACUGCCACAUGUAUUAUUAUUAUCAUUAUUAUUAUUUCUACAAUUUAAUAGUAUUUAAAAGUGAAAUCGAUAAAUAUGCAGAAUGUGUGCAGGUAAGAAAUAAAAGGGGAACAGAUUCAUGAAAUUCAGUCUUAAAAAUUUCAGAAUCAGAGAAACUUUAUUAAUCCAAGAGGGAAAUUGAGUCCCAGAAGGACGAAGAUGAAGCUUAUUAUCAGUUUUAUUUUCCAAAAACUAAGCAUCUUCCACCUACACUGUAAGACCUUUAAAUACAGGUUGUCAAUGGCCUAGCAGAUGGAUUCUCAAAUAGGGAGAAAUCUAAUUGGUGUUAACAGCACUUUCAAAAUGCAAAGUACACCAGGAGAAUACCAAAAGUCACCAAACAGUGCAUCUUCAUGUUUUAGUUAUGACAUUAAUGAGUCAUUUUAAACCUAAAUCACAAGUUUCUCUAGUUAAUCCCAAGAAAAAUUCGAAUACACUGCAAAAGCUUUUGCCAUUUCAAGUCAUCAGCGAUGUUGAACGACCACCUAGAGACACUCGUAUGUCUUAACUUAUGGCCAUUCGUUUCUCUUUAAUUUACCAUUAAGGACUUACUGUCGAGCUCUAAUUCCUUCAUGUUAAGCAGAGCAGCUUUGUGGCAGGGAAGGGAGGUAUGCAUGGACACACUGCCAUACACUGCGUCCUGUGCCAGUACCAGACUUCUGACAUUAUUAUGCAAACUAAAUGUGAAUGUUGAGUAUGUUCUAGUGGCAGUGAUGAUGUUGUUUUGUGGUUAUGACACUGCAAACUCUGAAAAAGUCUGUUUUGUCAAAAGGAAUUAACCCUCCUAACUUAUGCCCCCCAAAAAAUCAUUUGCCUUCAUAAAAAUACUGUCAACAUUUCUUUGAAUUAUUGUAAAAGCACCUCUUAAAAAAUAAUAAUUUGCUGGCAUAAGCUGACAGGACCGUUUGGUGGCUAGUUUUGCUAUAAGCUGCAGAUCUGGGUAAAGUCAAGAAUGUUAAUACCUGAAAAGUAGCACCAAUCUUUGUUCAGUUGAUCAAGCUGAAGUUUAGUUAGCCCUGAGUUUAAAAGUCAAUGGUUCUAGCUGUUCUGCUGCAGUGGAGCCAUCAGCUUUUUACUAUGACUAUUUUAUCAGCUAGUAUAUCAACAGCCAUGAAUGUGGAAACCAGUAAUGAGUGACAGUAUUGGAUAGGAACAUUUCCACAAGAUUGCAUAACAUAUUAUAAACAGUCCAGGACCAUCUCCAGCUGAUAAAUAAUGAAUUAAUGUACAUUCACUUUACUUUUGUGUUCCUUAUAAAUUUUAGCCUAUACAUAAAUACACAAAGCAACCCUGCAAAUCAGAAGUACCACCCAGGCUUGGUGAGUGUGAUUUCAGAAUUAAGAGAGCUGUGGUGCCCCCGUGUGGAGUGGAGCAGCAUUGCCAUUUUUAUGUCCCACAUAGAAUAGCACGAGAUGUUGUGUUGCAGCGUAACGGUAUGAGUGGGUGUAAUCCUGCAACCCACAAGAUAUGCAAAAACAAUGCAAUAACUAUGACUGUAUACAAGGAUCCUGAAGUAAAUAUGUUUGUGAAAGUGAAGAAAAAAAACAACAACACAGUAUCAUGAAGCUGUAUUAUUUUCUGUUUGUUAUGUUUUUAAGUCACCUUGGUGGUUUCCAUGCCAGAAAACCUAACAUACUUGAAAUCAGGUACAUUGCAGUGAGGUAUAGUGCAGAUGUAUUUAUUUUUCAUUCUCGUCGCAGGGUGUAGGUCGAGCAUGUUCUUUUUUGUUGUUGUUUUUUUUUGACGCAGUGACCUGAAGGUCAGUGUUUUCCUCGUGAAUUAACAAGCAGUCAGUGGAGACGCAACAAAAGCGACUGACCACAUUUCCCCAGGUUCCCACUUUCUGACUGUAUCUUUUUAUGUUGCUUAUUUCCCCUUUUUGUUUUUUUUAAGAAUUAAGCUUGUUGGGUGUAAACAUUGCAUGAGGUUCACGUGUUGACAUUUGAGCGUUCCGGGUUUUGCAGUUGUUUUGUUUGAUUCAGGUUAAAUAUGACUAUUUAGUGUACAUAAAAUGAUUAAAAGCAGUAUUUCUUCUUCAGAACUGACUGGACAGCAGUUGAAGAGUCCACGGAAGGGGAUUUUGCAUAUCUUGUGUCUUAUGUGCUUUUAGUUUAUUUUCCUGAUGCAUAACCCUGAGGAGGACAGUGAGAUGAAAUUUAAGAACAGAUAAAUGAUCAAGUUUAAUAUUUUUCCUCUUGCAUUCAGUAAAUAAGGCUUUGUGUUGCCAUAUUACUUUUAAAUUGAUUACUGGGACAGACUUUGAUUUAAAUCCAGGUUGAGGACAGAUAGGCAGGAGUUACACAGCAUAUAUUCAAAUGUUUCUACUCUAUAGGAUGAUAUUCUAACAUUUUUACUAUUCAGUGCCAGUCACAAAUAAUUUACUAGGCUUUUAUCAUGCUGCAGGUCAUAUAAACACUCAUCAUUAUGAGUAAAAUUGCAUUCUAUAUUGGUCAAAUGUUUGUGUUUCAGCUCAAAUGGAAAAUAAUCUUAUACAAAACCUGCAAACAAAUCUACUAUAAAGACUGGUGUGUAGCUGUGCUGUAAACAGUCAGUGUGUAAUAUGAUAUUGGUACCAACCUGCAGUGAGGGCCCCUUUGAACAGAGCUGACUGAUUAUCAGGAAAAGCUCAGGUAUAAUCAUUUGCUUUGAUAGGGACCUAAUAUGCUUUUUCAUAUUUCUGUCAGCUAUAUACUGUUACGAUAUCCUCAUAUUUAAAGCUUCAAAUAGCGUAUGUACGAGUAUUCCGUGUGAGCCAAAAGCUCAAACUUCUGACUGAUCUAAAUAUUUUUUUUCAGAUGUUGGCUCUACAUAAAUAUACAUAUGCAUAAAUUAUCCCAAAAUGGUCAUUUCGGGCACAUAUCUUUGACUAUGAGCACAAAAGCUCUGCCCGCCUGUGCUUCGAACCUUAGAAAUUUGCCUUAAAGGAAGUUGAAACAUCUAAAGUUGCUUGUUUCAACUCAUUUCACUUGUAUUUAUAUAGUGCUUAAUCACAGCAGCAGCCACAUCAAAGAGUUGUAUCUUCUAAAAUGAAAGGUAAAUGACCCCUGAGCAAGCACUUGGCGAUAGUAGGAAGGAAAAACUCCCUUUUAACACGAAGAAACCUCAGAUAAUAAAUGAACAGAGAGGCUGCACUAAAGCGCAGUGUAAAGUAAAUAAGAUUAUUUUAAAACGUAAAUCAUGCUAAACUACUCUGGUAACAUCUGAGAAUAAGAAAAACAAUAUUAAGCAAGCAUAAUGGAUCCCCUUUAGUCACGGCUCAUUUCAGUUUGUGGUAAACGUGCACCAAACGUGCGUCUGUGAAGCUCUUAUCAUUUAUUAGCCACAUCUUCCACCUUGAAUCCACUACGUGUGAGGGGGUCUUUCUGUAUACUUGUGCUCUCUUUUCCCACAUAGACAGAUGACAGCGGGUUUAACAGGCUGAUAAGCUGUAGCCGUCCUGGAUCUCCACCUGCAGCCAGUUAAACUGUAAACAAAGCCCCUCUGCCACAAAAGGGUGCAGUUCAAAUGGAAGUAAUUUCCUCAAGUGAAAGCAGAGCUGGAGUGGGGAACGGCUUAGUCCCUGACAGAUGGGUGACAAUCUAUUCAGCGGUCGACGACAAUGGGAAGACGUGGGCGUUUGGCCUGAGAAUGUUGAACGCAGAGAUUAUUUCAUCAUGUUUGGAUUUCUGGAGGGUGAUCUGACAUGGUGGAUUAUACAAUACAUUUAAGUAAUGUUUUAUGUGCAUAGGGAUAUAAAAUAUUGGUCCUAUAUAAAUGACGAUAUCUUUUGUCUCACCACUAGCCAAUGAUUGUAUAUUUUUAUAUACCAUAUAUAGCAAAAUAUUUAUGAACGUAUGAUAUUUAAUCGCCAGAAUGUUAGAUUAAGGAACAGGAAGGACACUUCUAUGUAGGCUUGCUGACUAGAAGUCAGUAUGAAUUCCCACUUUAAUGUAUUUUUUAAGCAAAAGGAAGCAGCAGGAAAUAAGGAAGCACCGAAGAAGAAAACUGAAUGUUUAAGCUAUGGACGUUUAUGGAUGUUUCAUAGUAAAUCGUGGGGCUUUUCAACUUAUUGCCCACAUUCUGAGCUGUUGAGGAAGAUUCGGAAAGGUUGCUUCACAAUCAGCUACACCACAGGAAAGCAAUCCAUCGCCCCUGCUUGUGACUCCAAAAUUAAAAGGCUCAAGACCCCAACUUUAAGCAGCAGACAGAUCCAAAUCCUGACAUGCUUUUGCUCGUGUUUGUUUUUGUGUUUUGGCCAGAGGUCUGAAACGUCCUACCAGCAACCUGUACGUGCAGGUCAGAGUCUGGUUAUUACUCCUACUGUAGCACUGAGAGACGUGUCUCUCUUCAAGUAGUCCUACAUCAGCAAAACAUAUACACACUGUACAUUUUUAACAGACCUAACCAAAAAUGGCACCUACCAAGGACUAGAUAUCUUUAUGGGGGGGAGGGUUUGAGCCGUUUAAAUCGUGUAGCCUCUUUUCUUUUUCUUCUUUUACUUCCAAAAAAAGAUAUUGGAGGACUUGAUCUACAUGUGUGUGUAGAGUCAUUUAUUCAUCUGCGUUGUGUGCAGAGUAGGAAGUCAAGUAUUUUUGCACCUGAUGAACUAAUUCGAUAAGAUCUUUUGUCUGCAUUUACAGUAAAAGCUCCAGACUCCAGUGCAGCAAUUUGACCGUUUAUUUCAAAGAAAGCAAAAUGAAUUCAGGUUGGUUUUGCCAUAUUUAUUCACCAACAAUGUUAUCUGCUGGAUUUAGCCUGGAAAUGCAAACAUGGUCACUGCUUCAUAAAAUCUUGACACUGGGAAGCCACAAAAGGAUGACAAGACUGAUUUUUAUCGUUACGGAGAAAAGCUGCUGUACAUUGAGAAAUUUUUAAUCUGUUCAGUAUUUUAAAAAAAAUGAAAAUAAACUAACAAAAAAAUAGCAUUUUACACACUUUUUAGAAGUAUUAGAGUUGUGUGUUUAUCCUUAACUUUGCCAGUUCGGAGAGUGUGAGGCUGGAGCGCAGAAGUCUUGUAAUCUUUCCCCGUGUCGGUCACUCAGAUCUCCUCACGUGGAUCUACCAUUGUUGCAGCAGAUGCAUAUUAUAUUUUCUUGUAAAUCAAAGCGUUUGUUGAUCACUGUUUGAUGCCGACAAAGAUAUUUUAAGAUGACUAUUUUGAAUAUAAAUUGUAUUUUAUUUUCCAGGUACAAUUAGAAUAGCCAGCUGUCGUAGGAGUAGAAUUAAAAUCAUCAAGAGAAUCACCUCAGAUGUUAUUUUGACUUCGAUGCUAAUGAACGCUUUGGGAAAGAGGGCAGAAACGGAAAGCGGGAACAUAUUGUUACAUGCAACUUUGUACUGCAUGUCUUCUAUUUUAGAUAUUAAAUAAUAGGAAUAUUAUAGCUAUAUUAUAUGAUAUUAAAUGACUGUUAGGGGCAGGUUGUUGCAGCUUGUGGGACGGAUGAAAGAAUCUGGUUUUAUUUAAAGAAACAUCCUUAUCAAGUUUCAGGUGCAAUGCUGUGAGUUUAUUUAUUUAAAAAAGAGAGAGAGAGAGACUGAUUUUGUGUGAAGAUUUACGUUCAUCUGUUUGUUGCUCGUGCAAAGACGCGAUCUUAUGAAGAAACAUCACAGGUCGGUAAGGAAAUGCAGUGGGGCACAGGUGCAUUUCAUUCAGUCCUUGAUGGACUAAAUGCGAUCAAGGACACGCAGCCUGUUUAAAACUACAAAUUUGGGUUACAUGAUCAUUACACGUAUUUAAUCUGUUGGGAUCAAUGAAAUCAAAACAUCUUCAAAGUAGAAGUGAUUGAUUUAGCUUUAAAUAAGUGAUCACUGCUGAAUUUCAUAGCCAGCUCUUUGCAUGUUAAGCAGCACUCGCACAUAGCAGCACCCAAACAGCUGAUUUUAAUCAUUUUUUCCCCUCAUAGCACGACGUUAAGUCAUCAGAUAUUGGUGGCGACGUUUUUCCAGGGCUGCUAAGCUCUUAGCUGAACCUGAUAGAUGAAAUUUGCUUGCCCAGUGGGUUUAGGAAUAAUGUAUAGACUAGAAUUCACUCAUUGUAUAGCGGCACCUACAACAGCACCUUUUAUGUGAAUAUUUAGUAUGACUGUUUUGUCAGGACCUCAAAGACCUUGUGUGUUAUCCCGCAUUCAUUCCAAAUCACAGAGAGCCCUGCCUGGCACUCAGUUUUGACACUAAGAUUGAGUCUUUCCGUAGCAGCAAACGCGACUCUCUUUGGGAUAUUACUUCAGAGGUGUGGCAGCAGCUUUACAAUGCAGACUUGACUGUCAGCGGUUCUGGUUUUGGAACAGCUUUCACCUCAUUAAAACCACGAAUGUCUCCGCCUGUAUCUGCUUCUCCACUCUUCAUUUUACAAACAAGAGCUAUUUAACAUUGCAUCGCAGAUGAGAAUUAUUUCUCCAAUCACCCCGUGAAUGUAGGAUACAGUUAUAUGCUCUUACUCACACCUGAGGAGUCACUUUAUAUUUGUAGAUUUUCCUUCUACGUAGCCAUUAAUGGAAGAGAGAUGUUCUGACCAGCACAGACAUAAAAGGCCUCAGUUGAGUUAGAAACAUAGAGGUCUUGUAUCUGUUUGUGCGUGUGCAGAUGCAGCUUUAAAUAGAUGAGUGGGCCCAUUUGAGAGCAUCAUGAGUGUUUUCUUCCAUUACUGAUGAUGCAGGAGCAUCUCUUUAAGCAAAGAAGGCACUUCCCUGCUUUUGGCCAGCUUGAUUUAGUGGCAAGAGAAUCGCAGCUCUACGUACAGCACAGUCUUUAUCUUCUUUCUGUUCCUCAUUUAUAUAUCAGGGCUAUGCUGCUCUGUAUGAUCUUACGUGUACGUCACUACUCAUGCAAAGUGUUAAAGGGCCAUUAACAGGACUGAGCUGUUUUUCUUCUUCUUCUCUGUCAGAGAGAUGUCUGUUGUCAAUCCUUGAGUUUAUUUUUUUGGAGAGAGGUGAUCACACAAAGACCAAUUCCUUGUAAUAUUAGUAGUGACGCUACUGUUAAAUGUAGUAUUUAAUAACAGCACUAUUUACGAUCAGAAAAAUGAACUAGAGUGUGUUAUUGUGCUUGGUAGCUUUGGAGACAGAUGGCCAUUUUUUUUCUUUUCUUUUCUUUUUUUUGUAACUGAAUUCUUUAACGUAAGCCACUCCCCCUCGACUGUGCGAGGAAUUUCAUUUGUUCUGAGGUUGCUAAGUGACAUGAUCUCACGAUUGACACAACCUUUUUAUUUUUUCUUCCUCUCGUUCUGCUUUUUUUUCUAAAAGAGAGAUCUUGAUUUUUUUUCUCCUUCAUUUCAUUUUAGAUUUUAGAAAGGGAAAGAAUACAAAUGAAAUAAAUCAGAAUAUUAAUUCAAUCACUUUUUCUACUCCUAUUUUCAAUAAAAAGUGAAAGAAAAAACCAAACAAAAAGUUGAUUUGUAAAUAAGUAAUGUACAGUUUGUAUCUGUAACUUGUCAGUCUGUCAUUGGUGACAGAGUCUGUCUUGCUUAUAACGCACGCUACAAGUAAAUAAAAAAGGAAAAAGUAUAUUUAGACUGUAUGGUCCCUUGAAAGCAAGUUUUAAAUUAAUAUCUGAUGUAUAUUCCUGUAACAUUGCAUUUUUAUCUGAGGAAUGAUGUUAUUAAAAAAUUGCAAAUAAAUUGCAUUUCCUACA